Molecule: long non-coding RNA, 1316 nt
Organism: Eriocheir sinensis (Chinese mitten crab)
Lineage: Eukaryota; Metazoa; Arthropoda; Malacostraca; Decapoda; Varunidae
Exons: 2
Source: RefSeq, a predicted model, not a curated record
CUUCAAUCCGUCGACGCUGAUAUCUUCACCAUUAAUCCUCUUCUAAACCUCUUAAUCUUCUUCUGUUUCCUCUUAAUUCUCUUCUACUUGUCUUUUAGAGGAAGUGGAAGAGGAUUAAGAGGAAUUUAGAGGAGGAUUGAAAGGUUUAGAGGAGGAUUAAUUCUCUUCCAUUUCCUCUUGACCCUCUCCAUACUGUAACGCCAAUGUCUGUGUCACGGAUGGAAAGGGUUGACUUCGAAGAGAGGAAGAGGGAGAAAUGACCAAGAGGGAUCAAGAGGAUUUGUAAAGGCCCCAUCCUCUCUACCCCUGACCAUCAUCGUAACAGCAGUGUACAAGUUAAACGAAAGAGAGGAGAGAGAAACGAUUGUGUUCACCUCAUCAAGUAGGAUUAAAAAGAGGAUCAGUGUAAAGGCUUCCUCUCCCGUACUGCUUACCAUCCUUGUUACUUUGAGCAGUGAACAGAAAAGAUCGUAACAGCAACAUACAAGUUAAACAAAAUAGAGGAAGAGAGGGAAACGAAGGCUCAUUCACCUCAUCAAGUAGGAUUAAAAAGAGGAUCAGUGUAAAGGCUUCCUCUCCUGUACCACUUGCCAUCCUUGUUACUUUGAGCAGUGAACAGAAAAGAUCGUAACAGCAACACACAAGUUAAACAAAAUAGAGGAAGAGAGGGAAACGAAGGCUCAUUCACCUCAUCAAGUAGGAUUAGUAAGAGGAUCAGUGUAAAGGCUUCCUCUCCCGUACUGCUUACCAUCCUUGUUACUUUGAGCAAUGAACAGAAAAGAUCGUAACAGCAACAUACAAGUUAAACAAAAUAGAGGAAGAGAGGGAAACGAAGGCUCAUUCACCUCAUCAAGUAGGAUUAUUAAGAGGAUCAGUGUAAAGGCUUCCUCUCCCUUACCACAUGCCAUCCUUGUAACUGAGAGCAACUGUAACUGUUAGAAAUCGAGGAAGGGCUAGCACUGGGCCGAGGAAGAUUGAGAGGGUCAUCGCAAAUCCAACUCCAAGAAUGGGAGAAGAUAGACGAUAAAACGAAGGAGAAGAAGAAGAACUGUGAGCAAUGCAGGAGAGGAAUGGAAAGGAAAGAAACUUGUUCACCUCAUCUAUUGGAGUAAGGAGUUGAGGAAAAGGAGUGGCAGCUGAGACAUUAAGGAAGAUUAUAUAAAGAAAGAGAAGGAAAUCAGUGUGAAGGAUGUAAGGAAGGAUUAGAAAGGAAAAUGGAUGUUAUGAUUGGUUAAAGGAAAAAUGAAGCUGCAAUGAAACACACACACACACACACACACACACACACACACACACACACACACACACACACACAC